RNAcentral lists this ribosomal RNA (375 nucleotides) under uncultured eukaryote. RNAcentral's name for it is "partial 18S ribosomal RNA". It matches the Rfam family "Eukaryotic small subunit ribosomal RNA", at positions 592 to 975 of the family's 1831-position model. The record is from RNAcentral.
CAAUAGCGUAUACUAACGUUGUUGCAGUUAAAAAGCUCGUAGUUGGAUUUGUGGCGGCAGUUGCGGUCCGUACUUUUUCGGUACUGUCGACUGCUGCCAUCCUUGGGUGGAUGCUGUGUGGCAUUAGGUUGUCGUGCAGUGGAUACCCAUCGUUUACUGUGAGAAAAUUAGAGUGUUCAAAGCAGGCUUAAGCCGUUGAAUAUAUUAGCAUGGAAUAAUGAGAUAGGACCCUGGUACUAUUUUGUUGGUUUGCGUGCCAAGGUAAUGAUUAAUAGGGACAGUUGGGGGUAUUCGUAUUCCAUUGUCAGAGGUGAAAUUCUUGGAUUUCUGGAAGACGAACUACUGCGAAAGCAUUUACCAAGGAUGUUUNCAUUA